Molecule: small nuclear RNA, 104 nt
Organism: Ochotona princeps (American pika)
Lineage: Eukaryota; Metazoa; Chordata; Mammalia; Lagomorpha; Ochotonidae
Source: Ensembl
CUGCUUGCUUCAGCAGCAUGGAUACUAAAAUUGGACUGAUACAAAGAUUAGCAUGGCCCCUGCACAAAGAUGACACAAACAUAUUAGAAUGCUAUGAACAUCUA